ACACUCCUGCGGGAGGCAGCAGUGGGGAAUAUUGGACAAUGGGCGCAAGCCUGAUCCAGCCAUGCCGCGUGAGUGAUGAAGGCCCUAGGGUUGUAAAGCUCUUUCACCGGUGAAGAUAAUGACGGUAACCGGAGAAGAAGCCCCGGCUAACUUCGUGCCAGCAGCCGCGGUAAUACGAAGGGGGCUAGCGUUGUUCGGAUUUACUGGGCGUAAAGCGCACGUAGGCGGAUUAUUAAGUCAGGGGUGAAAUCCCGGGGCUCAACCCCGGAACUGCCUUUGAUACUGGUAGUCUUGAGUUCGAGAGAGGUGAGUGGAAUUCCGAGUGUAGAGGUGAAAUUCGUAGAUAUUCGGAGGAACACCAGUGGCGAAGGCGGCUCACUGGCUCGAUACUGACGCUGAGGUGCGAAAGCGUGGGGAGCAAACAGGAUUAGAAACCCUGGUAGUCCCAUGAU
This 452-nucleotide ribosomal RNA is filed under the name uncultured organism. RNAcentral's name for it is "partial 16S ribosomal RNA". It matches the Rfam family "Bacterial small subunit ribosomal RNA", at positions 333 to 801 of the family's 1533-position model. The record is from RNAcentral.